UACAAAUUUAUGUGUCUUUACAGCAUCAAUUGAAUAGCCACCUCAUUAAUUUUGUAACUAACAUUCAUCAUCAUAAUCCAUCCCAUCUUCUUCGCCUUCUGUGUCGGAUUAACUGAGCAGCCAGUUAAAAACUUGGCAAAGAAACCGUAAGAGGCGGAAGAUUAUGAAGCAUAUAUACUAGAGUAUUACCGAGGACUUAAGAGUUCUUGAUCAGAGAUUCUUCACUGCGGCAUUUGUAACUAUUAGAAUGAGCACCUAUGCAAUGUUGGGGAGUACCAAGCAAUCAAGCCCCCUGCCCUUCAUUACCUACUAUCAGAAGGUUGGCAACAUUGUCAAGGAUGAGACGGUCUUCUUAACAGCUGUUCUGUUACUAGGGUAUUCUUUUCCGUUAGGGUAGCAUACAUUUUCAAGUACUGUUAUGUGCAUAUGAAAUGGAUUCUGCAUCAUUUAGCCCCAGAACACUCAUCUCCUUCAAGGGUAAGUAGUAGGGAUAUCAACAUGGACAGCGAGUAAGGCUAGCAACGAAUCCCAACUCUUGCGAGUUUGUCUUGAGUGUUGGUGUGGAGAUUUGAUGCAUCAAGUAUUUUCUAUUAUGCAGGUUAAAGCGGGCAUAACAUAAUGUAAGGCUUUGGGUGCUUUGUUUCUUUUAUAAGUAUACAUUUCCUUGAAGGAAAUUUACACUUUGUUAAAGCUAAACUCCAGAAUUAUAUUGCUCAUUCACCUUUUAUGACCAAAUACUUAGACAAUCCAAUGACUUGGUUGUUCACUUUAAUCUUUUACACAAUGGAGGGGUACACAGAUAUUCCUUUGUUAUUUAGACGUGUUGUUGUAUCAUUUUAUUAUAUAUGAAAUUAUAUGGUUCGUAGUGUUUUA
This is a long non-coding RNA of Lycium ferocissimum, 873 nucleotides long. RefSeq lists it as uncharacterized. The record is from RefSeq and is a predicted model, not a curated record. The transcript has 4 exons. Lineage: Eukaryota; Viridiplantae; Streptophyta; Magnoliopsida; Solanales; Solanaceae.